GUGAGCAAUCUGCCCCUGACUCUGGGAUAAGCGCUGGAAACGGCGUCUAAUACCGGAUACGAGCUGUGAAGGCAUCUUCAACAGCUGGAAAGAACUUCGGUCAGGGAUGAGCUCGCGGCCUAUCAGCUAGUUGGUGAGGUAAUGGCUCACCAAGGCGUCGACGGGUAGCCGGCCUGAGAGGGUGACCGGCCACACUGGGACUGAGACACGGCCCAGACUCCUACGGGAGGCAGCAGUGGGGAAUAUUGCACAAUGGGCGCAAGCCUGAUGCAGCAACGCCGCGUGAGGGACGACGGCCUUCGGGUUGUAAACCUCUUUUAGCAGGGAAGAAGCGAAAGUGACGGUACCUGCAGAAAAAGCACCGGCUAACUACGUGCCAGCAGCCGCGGUAAUACGUAGGGUGCAAGCGUUAUCCGGAAUUAUUGGGCGUAAAGAGCUCGUAGGCGGUUUGUCGCGUCUGCUGUGAAACCCCGAGGCUCAACCUCGGGCCUGCAGUGGGUACGGGCAGACUAGAGUGCGGUAGGGGAGAUUGGAAUUCCUGGUGUAGCGGUGGAAUGCGCAGAUAUCAGGAGGAACACCGAUGGCGAAGGCAGAUCUCUGGGCCGUAACUGACGCUGAGGAGCGAAAGGGUGGGGAGCAAACAGGCUUA
This 649-nucleotide ribosomal RNA is filed under the name unidentified microorganism. RNAcentral's name for it is "bacterial SSU rRNA". It matches the Rfam family "Bacterial small subunit ribosomal RNA", at positions 117 to 780 of the family's 1533-position model. The record is from RNAcentral.